RNAcentral lists this long non-coding RNA (470 nucleotides) under Homo sapiens (human). RNAcentral's name for it is "non-protein coding lnc-FYCO1-4:1". The record is from RNAcentral. Lineage: Eukaryota; Metazoa; Chordata; Mammalia; Primates; Hominidae.
AGGCAGAGGUUGCAGUGCGCCAAGAUCAAGCCACUGCACUCCAGCCUGGGCAACAAAGAGCUAGACUCUGUCUCAGGAAAAAAAAAAAAAAAAACUAAUAAAUGAAAUAAAUUAUGCUUUAAAACAAAGACCCCAUCACAGGACUCAGAUUACUCAUGGAGUUUCACCUUAGAAAUAACAGCCCAAUUUUCAGUAUUAACCAUAUUUGGAAAAAAUUUACCAAAGAAAAACCAAAACAAUAUCUAGCAGCCUUCCCAAACAGAGUUCUGUGGGCAGGUGUCCAGCAAAAGGAGGUGCUUUGUGGCCAGGCGCAGUGGUUUACGCCUGUAAACCCAACACUUUGGGGGGCCGAGGCAGGCGGAUCACCUGAGGUCAGGAGUUCGAGACCAGCCCGACCAACAUGGUGAAAUCCCAUCUCUACUAAAAAUGCAAAAAUUAGCCAGGCGUGGUGGCGUGUGCCUGUAGUCCCA